GGAUGUGAGGGCAAUCUGGCUGCGACAUCUGUCACCCCAUUGAUCGCCAGGGUUGAUUCGGCUGAUCUGGCUGGCUAGGCGGGUGUCCCCCUCCUCCCUCACCAAUCCAUGUGCGUCCCUCCCGAAGCUGCGAGCUCGGUCGAAGAGGACGACCUUCCCCCCUUCCCCCCUGAGGAGAGGACCGGUCUUCGGUCAAGGGUAUACGAGUAGCUGCGCUCCCCUGCUAGAACCUCCAAACAAGCUCUCAAGGUCCAAAAGACAUUAGCCUUUUUAACUUCAGUGAACAUAAAAAAAAAGACUGGUUCUACUAU
Myotis brandtii (Brandt's bat) is the source of this 311-nucleotide non-coding RNA. NCBI's taxonomy places the organism in Eukaryota, Metazoa, Chordata, Mammalia, Chiroptera, Vespertilionidae. The record is from Rfam.